CUUUGGGGAGCUGUAAGUAAGCUUUGAUCCAGAGAUUUCCGAAUGGGGAAACCCAGCAUGAGUUAUGUCAUGUUAUCGAUAUGUGAAUACAUAGCAUAUCAGAAGGUACACCCGGAGAACUGAAACAUCUUAGUACCCGGAGGAAGAGAAAGAAAAUUCGAUUCCCUUAGUAGCGGCGAGCGAAACGGGAAGAGCCCAAACCAACAAGCUUGCUUGUUGGGGUUGUAGGACACUCUAUACGGAGUUACAAAGGACGACAUUAGACGAAUCAUCUGGAAAGAUGAAUCAAAGAAGGUAAUAAUCCUGUAGUCGAAAAUGUUGUCUCUCUUGAGUGGAUCCUGAGUACGACGGAGCACGUGAAAUUCCGUCGGAAUCUGGGAGGACCAUCUCCUAAGGCUAAAUACUCUCUAGUGACCGAUAGUGAACCAGUACCGUGAGGGAAAGGUGAAAAGCACCCCGGAAGGGGAGUGAAAUAGAACCUGAAACCGUGUGCUUACAAGUAGUCAGAGCCCGUUAAUGGGUGAUGGCGUGCCUUUUGUAGAAUGAACCGGCGAGUUACGAUUUGAUGCAAGGUUAAGCAGUAAAUGUGGAGCCGUAGCGAAAGCGAGUCUGAAUAGGGCGUUUAGUAUUUGGUCGUAGACCCGAAACCAGGUGAUCUACCCUUGGUCAGGUUGAAGUUCAGGUAACACUGAAUGGAGGACCGAACCGACUUACGUUGAAAAGUGAGCGGAUGAACUGAGGGUAGCGGAGAAAUUCCAAUCGAACCUGGAGAUAGCUGGUUCUCUCCGAAAUAGCUUUAGGGCUAGCCUCAAGUGAUGAUUAUUGGAGGUAGAGCACUGUUUGGACGAGGGGCCCCUCUCGGGUUACCGAAUUCAGACAAACUCCGAAUGCCAAUUAAUUUAACUUGGGAGUCAGAACAUGGGUGAUAAGGUCCGUGUUCGAAAGGGAAACAGCCCAGACCACCAGCUAAGGUCCCAAAAUAUAUGUUAAGUGGAAAAGGAUGUGGCGUUGCCCAGACAACUAGGAUGUUGGCUUAGAAGCAGCCAUCAUUUAAAGAGUGCGUAAUAGCUCACUAGUCGAGUGACACUGCGCCGAAAAUGUACCGGGGCUAAACAUAUUACCGAAGCUGUGGAUUGUCCUUUGGACAAUGGUAGGAGAGCGUUCUAAGGGCGUUGAAGCAUGAUCGUAAGGACAUGUGGAGCGCUUAGAAGUGAGAAUGCCGGUGUGAGUAGCGAAAGACGGGUGAGAAUCCCGUCCACCGAUUGACUAAGGUUUCCAGAGGAAGGCUCGUCCGCUCUGGGUUAGUCGGGUCCUAAGCUGAGGCCGACAGGCGUAGGCGAUGGAUAACAGGUUGAUAUUCCUGUACCACCUAUAAUCGUUUUAAUCGAUGGGGGGACGCAGUAGGAUAGGCGAAGCGUGCGAUUGGAUUGCACGUCUAAGCAGUAAGGCUGAGUAUUAGGCAAAUCCGGUACUCGUUAAGGCUGAGCUGUGAUGGGGAGAAGACAUUGAGUCUUCGAGUCGUUGAUUUCACACUGCCGAGAAAAGCCUCUAGAUAGAAAAUAGGUGCCCGUACCGCAAACCGACACAGGUAGUCAAGAUGAGAAUUCUAAGGUGAGCGAGCGAACUCUCGUUAAGGAACUCGGCAAAAUGACCCCGUAACUUCGGGAGAAGGGGUGCUCUUUAGGGUUAACGCCCAGAAGAGCCGCAGUGAAUAGGCCCAAGCGACUGUUUAUCAAAAACACAGGUCUCUGCUAAACCGUAAGGUGAUGUAUAGGGGCUGACGCCUGCCCGGUGCUGGAAGGUUAAGAGGAGUGGUUAGCUUCUGCGAAGCUACGAAUCGAAGCCCCAGUAAACGGCGGCCGUAACUAUAACGGUCCUAAGGUAGCGAAAUUCCUUGUCGGGUAAGUUCCGACCCGCACGAAAGGCGUAACGAUUUGGGCACUGUCUCAACGAGAGACUCGGUGAAAUCAUAGUACCUGUGAAGAUGCAGGUUACCCGCGACAGGACGGAAAGACCCCGUGGAGCUUUACUGUAGCCUGAUAUUGAAAUUCGGCACAGCUUGUACAGGAUAGGUAGGAGCCUUUGAAACGUGAGCGCUAGCUUACGUGGAGGCGCUGGUGGGAUACUACCCUAGCUGUGUUGGCUUUCUAACCCGCACCACUUAUCGUGGUGGGAGACAGUGUCAGGCGGGCAGUUUGACUGGGGCGGUCGCCUCCUAAAAGGUAACGGAGGCGCUCAAAGGUUCCCUCAGAAUGGUUGGAAAUCAUUCAUAGAGUGUAAAGGCAUAAGGGAGCUUGACUGCGAGACCUACAAGUCGAGCAGGGUCGAAAGACGGACUUAGUGAUCCGGUGGUUCCGCAUGGAAGGGCCAUCGCUCAACGGAUAAAAGCUACCCCGGGGAUAACAGGCUUAUCUCCCCCAAGAGUUCACAUCGACGGGGAGGUUUGGCACCUCGAUGUCGGCUCAUCGCAUCCUGGGGCUGUAGUCGGUCCCAAGGGUUGGGCUGUUCGCCCAUUAAAGCGGUACGCGAGCUGGGUUCAGAACGUCGUGAGACAGUUCGGUCCCUAUCCGUCGUGGGCGUAGGAAAUUUGAGAGGAGCUGUCCUUAGUACGAGAGGACCGGGAUGGACAUACCUCUGGUGUACCAGUUGUCGUGCCAACGGCAUAGCUGGGUAGCUAUGUGUGGACGGGAUAAGUGCUGAAAGCAUCUAAGCAUGAAGCCCCCCUCAAGAUGAGAUUUCCCAACUUCGGUUAUAAGAUCCCUCAAAGAUGAUGAGGUUAAUAGGUUCGAGGUGGAAGCAUGGUGACAUGUGGAGCUGACGAAUACUAAUCGAUCGAAGACUUAAUCAA
RNAcentral lists this ribosomal RNA (2848 nucleotides) under Staphylococcus aureus M1127. RNAcentral's name for it is "bacterial LSU rRNA". It matches the Rfam family "Bacterial large subunit ribosomal RNA". The record is from RNAcentral. Lineage: Bacteria; Bacillati; Bacillota; Bacilli; Caryophanales; Staphylococcaceae.